UACGGAAGGCAGCAGUGGGGAAUAUUGCACAAUGGGCGCAAGCCUGAUGCAGCCAUGCCGCGUGUAUGAAGAAGGCCUUCGGGUUGUAAAGUACUUUCAGCGGGGAGGAAGGCGAUGCGGUUAAUAACCGCGUCGAUUGACGUUACCCGCAGAAGAAGCACCGGCUAACUCCGUGCCAGCAGCCGCGGUAAUACGGAGGGUGCAAGCGUUAAUCGGAAUUACUGGGCGUAAAGCGCACGCAGGCGGUCUGUUAAGUCAGAUGUGAAAUCCCCGGGCUUAACCUGGGAACUGCAUUUUGAAACUGGCAGGCUUGAGUCUUGUAGAGGGGGUAGAAUUCCAGGUGUAGCGGUGAAAUGCGUAGAGAUCUGGAGGAAUACCGGUGGCGAAGGCGGCCCCUGGGACAAAGACUGACGCUCAGGUGCGAAAGCGUGGGGAGCAAACAGGAUUAGAUACC
Molecule: ribosomal RNA, 454 nt
Filed under: uncultured bacterium
Lineage: Bacteria
Description: bacterial SSU rRNA
Rfam family: Bacterial small subunit ribosomal RNA
Source: RNAcentral